GGAGAAUUGCCUGAACCCCGGAGGUGGAGGUUGCAGUGAGUGGAGAUUGUGCCAUUGCACUCCAGCCUGGGUGACAAGAGUGAAUCUCUGUCUCAAAAAAAACAAAAAAAGAAAGAAAGAAAAAAAGAAAAUUAUAAAAAUAGUCACUAUGAUUUUCAAAGAACAGUGGAUAAUAGGUGAUAACAGUUAUUUUGUUCCUUUUUUGAGGUAUUUACAUAAAGUGUACAAGUCAUAAGUAUACAGCUGGCAAGCUUUUGCAUAUGCAUGUACCUGUGUUACUACCACCCAGAUCAAGAUACAGAACCUUCUCAGCACCCCAGGAAACUCACUUUUGCUACCCCAAUUAAUAUUUCAUCCAAAAGUUAACUACUGUCACAACUUGUAAACCAGAUUAGUUUUGUCUAAUUUUGAACUUCAUAUAAAUGGCAUUAUACAGUAUAUACUCUUUUGUGUUUUGUUUCUUUCACUCAACAUUAUGUCUAUGAGAGUCAUCAAAGUUGCAUGUAGUGAUAGUUGGUUUAUUUCCAUUGCUGAGUAAUAAUCUAUUGUAUGAGUAUACUUUAAUUUAUCCACUCUUCUGUUGAUAAACAUUUGGGUUGUCUGCAGUUUUGUUGACUUUUAUGAAUAAUAUUGCUAUGAACCUUCUUGCAUAUGUCUCUUGGUGGGCAUAAGCCCUCAUUUCUGUUGGACAUAUAAUAUUCAUGUAUUUAGCUUUAUUAGAAACUGUCAAACAAUUUUCCAAAAUGAUUGUACCAAUCUAUACUGCCACAACAAUGUAAGAGAAUUCUAGUUGAUCCAUGACCUCAGUAUUUUUAGGCAUUUUAAUUUUAAACAUUCUGGUAAAUAUAUAGUAGUAUCUUGUGAUUUUAAUUUUCAUUUCCCUAAUAUUAUUAAACACCUUUUUAUAAAUUUAUUGGCCAUUUGAUUUGGGAAUCUCUUCUCAUUUUAAAAAUUGGAUUGUCUGUCUUUUUCUUAUUGAUUUGUAAGCAUUAUUUAUAUAUUUUGGAUAUUAGUCUUUUGUCAAUAUAAAUACACAUAUAUAUAGAAAAUAAAAAAAAAAAAAAA
This 1065-nucleotide long non-coding RNA is filed under the name Homo sapiens (human). RNAcentral describes it as "non-protein coding lnc-RRM1-5:1". Lineage: Eukaryota; Metazoa; Chordata; Mammalia; Primates; Hominidae. The record is from RNAcentral.